This is a long non-coding RNA of Passer domesticus (house sparrow), 302 nucleotides long. RefSeq lists it as uncharacterized. Lineage: Eukaryota; Metazoa; Chordata; Aves; Passeriformes; Passeridae. The record is from RefSeq and is a predicted model, not a curated record. The transcript has 3 exons.
AAGGGCAUAAGUGAUAGGAUACAGGGGAAUGGAUUCAGACUGAAAGAAGGAGAUUAGAUGAGAUAUUAAGAAGAAAUUCUUUAUUGUGAUGGUGGUGAGAUGCUGAAACAUGUUCCUCAGAGAAGCUGUGGAAGUCCCAUCCCUGGACUGCCCAAGAUCAGCCCUCUGCAUCAAGAUGCUGACAUUGGUGUUCCAAACCCAUUUCUAACACUGAUAUAUGAAUAGCUGCACUGAUGAGAAAAGCUCUGAAGUUCUUCUAAAAUCCAUCUCUCUAUAAGGAGCUUCCAAAACUACUUCCUCAG